RNAcentral lists this transfer RNA (72 nucleotides) under Fukomys damarensis (Damara mole-rat). It matches the Rfam family "tRNA". From Rfam's summary of the family: Transfer RNA (tRNA) molecules are approximately 80 nucleotides in length. Their secondary structure includes four short double-helical elements and three loops (D, anti-codon, and T loops). The record is from Rfam by way of RNAcentral. Lineage: Eukaryota; Metazoa; Chordata; Mammalia; Rodentia; Bathyergidae.
AGAGGUAUAAUUCAGUGGAAGAGUGCUUACCUAGCAUGCAUGAGGUCCUGGGUUCAGUCCCUAGUACUAUUA